This 272-nucleotide ribosomal RNA is filed under the name uncultured Lachnospiraceae bacterium. RNAcentral describes it as "partial 16S ribosomal RNA". It matches the Rfam family "Bacterial small subunit ribosomal RNA", at positions 73 to 339 of the family's 1533-position model. The record is from RNAcentral. Lineage: Bacteria; Bacillati; Bacillota; Clostridia; Lachnospirales; Lachnospiraceae.
UUCUUCGGAUGAAGGUUUUUGUGACUGAGUGGCGGACGGGUGAGUAACGCGUGGGUAACCUGCCUCAUACAGGGGGAUAACAGUUAGAAAUGACUGCUAAUACCGCAUAAGACCACGGAGCCGCAUGGCUCAGUGGGAAAAACUCCGGUGGUAUGAGAUGGACCCGCGUCUGAUUAGCUAGUUGGUGAGAUAACAGCCCACCAAGGCGACGAUCAGUAGCCGACCUGAGAGGGUGACCGGCCACAUUGGGACUGAGACACGGCCCAAACUCC